CACCAGCUUCCUGUGAUUGCUGUGACCUUCUCUCUGCUCCCCAAGCACAGUGUCAUCCAUUUGAUAGUGGCUGUACUUGGUAUUGCAGUUCAGCCCAUUCACUUCAAUAGGGCUGGGCUGUGCCUAGGCCA
This is a long non-coding RNA of Bufo bufo (common toad), 131 nucleotides long. RefSeq lists it as uncharacterized. Lineage: Eukaryota; Metazoa; Chordata; Amphibia; Anura; Bufonidae. The record is from RefSeq and is a predicted model, not a curated record. The transcript has 3 exons.